UUUUCUAAAAAAAAAUAAAAUCUCUGUUGCACCCGUUGCGCCAAAAAUCUCCGUUGCGUAUUUUAGUGGUACCCCUAAACCGGAAGUACAUGUGACGAAACGUCCGCCAUGACGUUCAAGAAAAUUGAGAAAUUGUGUAACAUAAACUCGUAUUUCAUAACAAAGAAGUGGAGAUGAAUACAAUUAUCGGUGUGCUUCGUUGAAACAGGAAGAGGAUUAUCCAUCUAUUGUAUUGGGAGUGUUUGUGGAGCAUCCAACACCAUUUCUUAGAGAAGCCUUACAGAAGAUUGCAGCAUUAGAUUAUCCUAAACAGAAAAUUGAUUUCUUUAUUCAUUCAUCUUUACUAGAAAUCACCAGAAUGAGAUAGAUUUAUUCUUGAACAAGGUUGGAAUAUUAAGUCUGUCAAUGCUAUAGGUUCAUAUGACAGUAUUGGUGAAGCAGCAGCCAGGAACUGGGCCAUGCGGACAUGUUAUGACGUCAUCGUAAAAAAUCGAUUCCGUGAAAGCUGGUAGUAGCCACCAGUGUGUCUAGCAGACAGAGUUUUACAGACUAAUUAUUUAGGACAGUUGAAAAUCCAGUUCAGGGUGUAUUGCUUGUCAGGAAGAUACCAUUAAUCAUGGGAAA
Ruditapes philippinarum (Manila clam) is the source of this 624-nucleotide long non-coding RNA. RefSeq lists it as uncharacterized. The record is from RefSeq and is a predicted model, not a curated record. Lineage: Eukaryota; Metazoa; Mollusca; Bivalvia; Venerida; Veneridae. The transcript has 5 exons.